UGGGCUGAAGGAUCCUCCUCUCAUCAUCCCUGGGGUUCGAGCAGCAAGGGUUGGCUGGAAGGAAACCAGACGCUCACUUUAGCAUCUUAGCUACGCCGGUAUUCUUAUCGCACAUUGUGUAGGCAAUACCCUGAAGUUCAAUGCUUAGCAAGAGGUUAACAGAGAAAUGAGCAUCCCUUCACACCAGCCCUUGGGCUGCUACAGAAAUCGGGAAAGAAUGCAGCGCGUUAGAAAAAAAUCACCGAAAAUAUCCAGUCCGCAGCCGAGCAAAGGAGAAGAGAAGAGAGAGAUCCUAAAGCCCGGCGCGACAGGCUGCGGGCCACCUGCUUGCGCCAGGAGGUGAGACGCGACGGAAGAUGGGACUCACCGGCGUGGCUGGCCGCUAGCAGCGCGGCCACUAGGGCGCAGGGCAGAAGCAUGUCCCGACGGAGGAUGCCUGGAUGUUCGCUGCAGCUCCGGCUCUACGGGUGCUCGACGCCGAGAACCCAGUGCCGCUCCUAGGUACGCGCCCGUCUAUAUAUCGGCGGCGGUGAGUCACAGUCGGAAACACGAAAUGGGGGAUUUCGGUGCAUGAGACCCGCCCCGCCGCGUAGCUGCCGGCCCCCUCGGCCGUAGCCCGCCGUUUCUCCGCCUGUCUCCCGCCGGCGGGACGCGGCGGUGGCAGUCGUUCCGCCGCCUCCCGCGCCGCCCCCGCCUCAGCCCCUGCAGGGACCGCGGCUCUUCCUGCUGGCGGCUGAGAGGACCACACGCCUCGGUGGGCGGAGAGGGGCUACCUGCGUUUGCCCGUCCAGGUCGAACCCCCGACAGCCUCGGGGAGAAGGCGAAGGCAGCGCUUUCUCGGAAGCAGCUUCUCGGCGCCCGAGCCCGUCCCAUGCCCCCUCGGCGUCCCUUCAGGGCAGGGCGGCAGCAGCCUGCCGCGGCUGCCCCGCACCGCAGGGGGCUUGGCUCGAUGGCGCACGGCGCGGAGUCGCGGCGGCCAGAGUUGCCGAUAUUCCUCUCCUGGCCUAGUUUUCUGACACCCCUUCAAAGUGUCUGUGUUGUAAACCAGAGACGUCUAAGCCAGCCGCCUCGUUGCAGUCGGCAGUAAGCCACACUCUUGCGACUGCAGAAGUGCAACGCAAAGUGUCAGCCGGCCAGAACCGCGCAAGGACGCGCAGCCGAGCCCUACCGACGGUCGCAUUCCUCCCCUGCUGUCCGACACAGCACUGAGCACCCUGGGGAACGUGGGGUUUAGAUCGUUAAUGAGGCAAUUUUAAUCUGUUCAUUACAGAAGGGCUCGAGGACCUUGUUUUUCACAGGGAGAGGGAAGCUGCCGAGCGUUUGUGUUGCGUGCACGGAGGGAAGGCACAAGAGAAACCUCGAUUUUGAGGGCGAGGGAGAUUGCCCAGGGAGGUUGUGGAGUCUCCUCCUCUGCAGAGACUCCAGACCCUACCUGGACAUUGUGCUCUUGGGCAACCUUGCUGUAGCAAGGCAGUUGGGCUGGAUGAUCUCUAGAGCUCCUUCCCAAACCCGCCUAUUCUGGGAUCCGGUGUUUCUGUGGCAUGAACAGCGAGCACAUUUGGUGAUUGAUUUGGACGUCUUUGCGUUUCUGGGAUCAAAUCCCAUUAUUAAGCAUCUUAUUUUGAAACGACCAGUGACUUUUCCUCCGUGUUUCUGCUCCAAGAUCCCCCCCGCCGCUCUCUGCAAGUCCAUCUGUAAACACAUCUUUCCUCAUUUCCUUCAGUUGCCCUUGCGGGAUGCUUUACCUUUUUGUCAUCUAUUAUGUUGUUUGAGAUCAGGCCACACUACUACUCCUAUUUUUAACCUUCUUUGCGCGUGGAAAAUGUGUUAUGAAACAAGCAGCAUGUAAGGCAGUUGUGUAACCCUCUGCGGCACAGUGCUGGGGGCUCGCUGCAGUCUGCCCCACGGCUGCUGCUUUCGCCCGUGAUGUCAGCGUGAGACACUGACAAAGCCCCGUGUUUCACUGAAGAUAUCUCCUUGAGGUUCCAUGCUUGAUUGUGUUUAAAUUGCAAAUCGAUGACUUUACACCAAGUGGAUUUGGUCCUGUUUAAACAAGAUCUUAGUUUUGGCCCAGAAGGCUUGCGGUGAGGUCGGUGAAUAAUUUGUGUACAUCAGCAGGAGGUCAUCCUGGAUGGUUUAGGGAAUGUUGGA
Long non-coding RNA from Pogoniulus pusillus (Red-fronted tinkerbird), 2151 nucleotides. RefSeq lists it as uncharacterized. Lineage: Eukaryota; Metazoa; Chordata; Aves; Piciformes; Lybiidae. The record is from RefSeq and is a predicted model, not a curated record. The transcript has 3 exons.